GAUGAAGAACGUAGCGAAAUGCGAUAAGUAAUGUGAAUUGCAGAAUUCAGUGAAUCAUCGAAUCUUUGAACGCACAUUGCGCCCGCCAGUAUUCUGGCGGGCAUGCCUGUCCGAGCGUCAUUUCAACCCUCGAACCCCUCCGGGGGGUCGGCGUUGGGGACCUCGGGAGCCCCUAAGACGGGAUCCCGGCCCCGAAAUACAGUGGCGGUCUCGCCGCAGCCUCUCCUGCGCAGUAGUUUGCACAACUCGCACCGGGAGCGCGGCGCGUCCACGUCCGUAAAACACCCAACUUCUGAAAUGUUGACCUCGGAUCAGGUAGGAAUACUCGCUGAACUUAAGCAUAUCAAUAAGCGGAGGA
Molecule: unclassified non-coding RNA, 358 nt
Filed under: soil metagenome
Description: partial contains 5.8S ribosomal RNA, internal transcribed spacer 2, and large subunit ribosomal RNA
Rfam family: 5.8S ribosomal RNA (bases 1-120)
Source: RNAcentral